AUUGAACGCUGGCGGCAGGCCUAACACAUGCAAGUCGAGCGAGCGGCGGACGGGUGAGUAAUGGCGGGGAAACUGCCUGAUGGAGGGGGAUAAGUACUGGAAACGGCAGCUAAUACCGCAUACCAUCGGAUGUGCGGAGAGGGGGUUAGCUAGUCGGUGGGGUAACGGCUCACCUAGGAGACGAGCCCUAGCUGGUCGGAGAGGAUGAACAGCCACACUGGAACUGAGACACGGCCCAGACUCCUACGGGAGGCAGCAGUAGGGAAUAUUGCGCAAUGGACGCAAGCCUGAUGGAGCCAUGCCGCGUGUAUGAAGAAGGCUUUCGGAUUGUAAAGUACUGUCAGCAGGGAGGCGUUACCCGCCUAGAAAGCACCGGCUAACUCCGUGCCAGCAGCCGCGGUAAUAC
This 406-nucleotide ribosomal RNA is filed under the name uncultured bacterium. Its description in RNAcentral is "partial 16S ribosomal RNA". It matches the Rfam family "Bacterial small subunit ribosomal RNA", at positions 29 to 526 of the family's 1533-position model. The record is from RNAcentral.